ACCUGGGUGGCUUAGUUGGUUAAGCAUCUGACUUCGGCUCAGGUCAUGACCUCACAGUUCGUGAGUUCGAGCCCCACAUCAGGCU
Molecule: transfer RNA, 85 nt
Filed under: Felis catus (domestic cat)
Lineage: Eukaryota; Metazoa; Chordata; Mammalia; Carnivora; Felidae
Rfam family: tRNA
About the family: Transfer RNA (tRNA) molecules are approximately 80 nucleotides in length.
Source: Rfam by way of RNAcentral